GGCUGCAGGGAGGCACCGCUCCGGCUGGGUGGAAGUCCCCGCGGGGCUCCUCUCUCCUGCGCCGCCCCAUGCCCCAGCGCUUGCAGGCUCCCUGGUGCACACCACACGCUCAGAAACGCGGCUCGCUCCUUGGGCAUUUCCCUCGGUCACGUUCACACGGUCCUUGCCCCAUUGGCGGGGUGACCCGGGACGAGGUGCCCUGUGCAACUUGCCCUGGUGCAUUGGAUUCCUUCAGACGGUGGGUCAGCUAUAAAGUCCCCCUGGCACAGCAUUUGAAAUUAAGAAGAAGGUGCCAUUUUAAUGCUGUCUUCUGCUCUUCCGUCAGAGUGAGGAAUUCAUGGACCUGUUGAAAUGAUCAAACAACAUACUUAUUUCUGAAACACAUAAAAAUAUAUAUAAAGUGCAUGUGUUUGACGUUUCAUUGACCACAUAGCGGCACCCUGAACUGCAAGGAACAGGAAAAGACAAAGUAUUAAUUACAACAGAGUCCCCAACAUAUGAUGAUCACACAACGGUCUUCCAUGGACUCGAGUGAAGUGACUGGGAGCCCUGCUGCUGAUCUGACGUUCUCCUGCACAGACACCGACUCAGCUCAGAUCUUCACACGUUCACUCCUUCCACCCCACCCACACAAUGGAAUGAGAACAUCUGGCCCUCAGAAACGAUGCAACUGUUAAUUUUACAAAACAAGCGCAAUGCUAUUUACAGGAGAGACAAAGCCUUAGAGAAUGCUUCCAACUGGUGAAGAUGACUCACUGUGUAGGCAGCUAGUGUUAGAUCAGGCCAUUCUUUUCUUAGUUAAAAUUAAAUUUUCAUAUGUCUCUGAAAACAGACAAAUUAUGAAUACGCUGGGCCAAAUUCUGCACUCAAAUGCUCACAUUCAUUGCUCACUGAAAUCAGAAGAUGCAUGUGAGAAUCUGAGGGCUGAAUUUGACCCAAGAACUCUACCUAUUAACCUACAAGUUAUUUUUACUGGGUUUGCAUUUUGUACCUAAUAGAGAAAGAAAAAAAUAUUUAUGUCACAAUGCUUAAUAGGAGACUCAGCUAAGUUUUAAACUACUGAUUGGACAGUUGUGCUAAAUAUUACAAUGCUAGGUGUUAUAGAAAAACCAUUAAUAAACGAGAUAGACAGAAAUUA
Molecule: long non-coding RNA, 1138 nt
Organism: Emys orbicularis (European pond turtle)
Lineage: Eukaryota; Metazoa; Chordata; Testudines; Emydidae
Exons: 5
Source: RefSeq, a predicted model, not a curated record